CCUACGGGGGGCAGCAGUGGGGAAUAUUGCACAAUGGGCGCAAGCCCGAUGCAGCCAUGCCGCGUGUGUGAAGAAGGCCUUCGGGUUGUAAAGCACUUUCAGCGGGGAGGAAGGCGUUAAGGUCAAUAACCUUGUCGAUUGACGUUACCCGCAGAAGAAGCACCGGCUAACUCCGUGCCAGCAGCCGCGGUAAUACGGAGGGUGCAAGCGUUAAUCGGAAUUACUGGGCGUAAAGCGCACGCAGGCGGUCUGUCAAGUCGGAUGUGAAAUCCCCGGGCUCAACCUGGGAACUGCAUUCGAAACUGGCAGGCUAGAGUCUUGUAGAGGGGGGUAGAAUUCCAGGUGUAGCGGUGAAAUGCGUAGAGAUCUGGAGGAAUACCGGUGGCGAAGGCGGCCCCCUGGACAAAGACUGACGCUCAGGUGCGAAAGCGUGGGGAGCAAACAGGAUUAGAUACCCCAGUAGUC
Molecule: ribosomal RNA, 465 nt
Filed under: uncultured Klebsiella sp.
Lineage: Bacteria; Pseudomonadati; Pseudomonadota; Gammaproteobacteria; Enterobacterales; Enterobacteriaceae
Description: bacterial SSU rRNA
Rfam family: Bacterial small subunit ribosomal RNA
Source: RNAcentral